This 257-nucleotide ribosomal RNA is filed under the name uncultured marine eukaryote. RNAcentral describes it as "partial 18S ribosomal RNA". It matches the Rfam family "Eukaryotic small subunit ribosomal RNA", at positions 1 to 261 of the family's 1831-position model. The record is from RNAcentral.
AACCUGGUUGAUCCUGCCAGUAGUCAUACGCUCGUCUCAAAGAUUAAGCCAUGCAUGUGUAAGUUCAAUGAUUUGACCAAAAAACUGCGAAUGGCUCAUUAUAUCAGUUAUAGUUUAUUUGAUAGUCCCUUACUACUUGGAUACCCGUAGUAAUUCUAGAGCUAAUACAUGCGUAAACACUCGACCUUUGGAAGAGUGGUAUUUAUUAGAUUGAAACCACCCCCGUUUCGGCGGUGUCCUGGUUGAUCCUAAUCACU